CCUACGGGAGGCAGCAGUGAGGAAUAUUGGUCAAUGGUCGGGAGACUGAACCAGCCAAGCCGCGUGAGGGAGGAAGGUACAGAGUAUCGUAAACCUCUUUUGUCAGGGAACAAAGACUGGGACGCGUCCCCGGAUGAGUUUACCUGAAGAAAAAGCAUCGGCUAAAUCCGUGCCAGCAGCCGCGGUAAUAGGGAGGAUGCUAGCGUUAUCCGGAUUUAUUGGGUUUAAAGGGUGCGCAGGCGUUCUGUUAAGUCAGCGGUCAAAGCCCGGGGUUCAACCCCGGCCCGCCGUGGAAAAUGGCAGUCGCGAGUUGGAGAGAAGUAUGCGGAAUGCGCGGUGUAGCGGUGAAAUGCAUAGAUAGCGCGCAGAACUCCGAUUGCGAAGGCAGCAUGCCGGCUCCACACGGACGCUGAGGCACGAAAGCGUGGGUAUCGAACAGGAUUAGAUACCCUGGUAGUC
This 459-nucleotide ribosomal RNA is filed under the name uncultured bacterium. RNAcentral describes it as "partial 16S ribosomal RNA". It matches the Rfam family "Bacterial small subunit ribosomal RNA", at positions 338 to 795 of the family's 1533-position model. The record is from RNAcentral.